Molecule: ribosomal RNA, 497 nt
Filed under: uncultured bacterium
Lineage: Bacteria
Description: partial 16S ribosomal RNA
Rfam family: Bacterial small subunit ribosomal RNA
Source: RNAcentral
GAUGAACGCUGGCGGCGUGCCUAAUACAUGCAAGUCGAGCGAACAGACGAGGAGCUUGCUCCUCUGACGUUAGCGGCGGACGGGUGAGUAACACGUGGAUAACCUACCUAUAAGACUGGGAUAACUUCGGGAAACCGGAGCUAAUACCGGAUAAUAUAUUGAACCGCAUGGUUCAAUAGUGAAAGACGGUUUUGCUGUCACUUAUAGAUGGAUCCGCGCCGCAUUAGCUAGUUGGUAAGGUAACGGCUUACCAAGGCGACGAUGCGUAGCCGACCUGAGAGAGUGGUCGGCCACACUAGAACUGAGACACGGUCCAGACUCCUACGGGAGGCAGCAGUAGGGAAUCUUCCGCAAUGGGCGAGAGCCUAGCGGAGCAACGCCGCGUGAGUGAUGAAGGUCUUCGGAUCGUAAAGCUCUGUUAUUAGGGAAGAACAAAUGUGUAAGUAACUAUGCACGUCUUGACGGUACCUAAUCAGAAAGCCACGGCUAACUACGUG